RNAcentral lists this ribosomal RNA (253 nucleotides) under uncultured bacterium. RNAcentral describes it as "partial 16S ribosomal RNA". It matches the Rfam family "Bacterial small subunit ribosomal RNA", at positions 524 to 776 of the family's 1533-position model. The record is from RNAcentral.
UACGUAUGGUGCAAGCGUUAUCCGGAUUUACUGGGUGUAAAGGGAGCGUAGGCGGCGCGUUAAGUCUGAUGUGAAAACCCGAGGCUCAACCACGGGAGUGCAUUGGAAACUGGCGGGCUGGAGUGCCGGAGAGGUAAGCGGAAUUCCUAGUGUAGCGGUGAAAUGCGUAGAUAUUAGGAGGAACACCAGUGGCGAAGGCGGCUUAUUGGACGGCAACUGACGCUGAGGCUCGAAAGCGUGGGGAGCAAACAGG